GACGAACGCUGGCGGCGUGCUUAACACAUGCAAGUCGAACGGAAAGGCCCUGCUUUUGUGCUGUGCUCGAUUGGCAAACGCGUGAGUAACACGUGAGUAACCUGCCCUUGACUUUGGGAUAACUUCAGGAAACUGGGGCUAAUCCCGUAUCGGAUCUCCUGCUGCAUGGUGGGGGUUGAAAAGUUUCGGCGGUUGGGGAUGGACUCGCGGCUUAUCAGCUUGUUGGUGGGGUAGUGGCUUACCAAGGCUUUGACGGGUAGCCGGCCUGAGAGGGUGACCGGCCACAUUGGGACUGAGAUACGGCCCAGACUCCUACGGGAGGCAGCAGUGGGGAAUAUUGCACAAUGGGCGGAAGCCGGAUGCAGCAACGCCGCGUGCGGGAUGACGGCCUUCGGGUUGUAAACCGCUUUCGCCUGUGACGAAGCGUGAGUGACGGUAAUGGGUAAAGAAGCACCGGCUAACUACGUG
Molecule: ribosomal RNA, 468 nt
Filed under: uncultured bacterium
Lineage: Bacteria
Description: partial 16S ribosomal RNA
Rfam family: Bacterial small subunit ribosomal RNA
Source: RNAcentral